Molecule: long non-coding RNA, 740 nt
Filed under: Homo sapiens (human)
Lineage: Eukaryota; Metazoa; Chordata; Mammalia; Primates; Hominidae
Description: HSALNT0376356
Source: RNAcentral
CUUGUUCCGCGGAGGGUGGGGCGGUCUCUGCUUGCGCAUGCGCAAUGCCAGCCAGUGCCUGCGCGGCUUGCUCCAGCAAGGUAAAAUUUCCCACUGCGAGGCAGGCAGUGAUGCUGCGGCCGCUUCGCACUGUGGCUCCUGCCGACCGCCAGGCGCUGUUACAGUGGAUGCGAACUAACCGUAAGUCAUUAUAUCGUACUGCAGAAACCAGCUCAACUAUGCAAAACUACCACCAGGACUGGCCGACACCAGGAGGGAUUCCAGAGACCACACUGCAGGGAGCAUACAGAAAGAAAAUUAAGAGAUCAGAUGCAGCAGCAGCCGGAACCCACAGUUCACCUUGGUGCAUUCCUUUAUGAUGAAGACUUAUUGAUUCAUUAUAUGAGAAAGGAAAAAUGAGCAGAAACUACUGUAUGAUGUGCAGCUCACACCAGACAGCAACUUUAGCACAUGUGCCUCACUCUUCAUGGUAAAUGUUUUACUGAAGAAUAACAUACAGAAAAGUGGACAAGUCUUAACUGCACAGCUCAAUGAAUUUCCAUGAAGUAAAUAUACCCAUAUGAUAAUCCAGCUCAAGAAACAGAAAAUCACUACCACCCCAGAAGACUGCCUUAUACUACCAUCUUUUAAGAGUGAAUCACACAUGGGGUACUCCUUGUAUCUGGCCUCUUUCUUUUUUUCUUUCUUUUUAAUUAUUAUUUUUGUUUGAGAUGGAGUCUCAUUCUGUCACCCAGGCUAGA